Molecule: long non-coding RNA, 2811 nt
Organism: Salvelinus sp. IW2-2015
Lineage: Eukaryota; Metazoa; Chordata; Actinopteri; Salmoniformes; Salmonidae
Source: RefSeq, a predicted model, not a curated record
CUUCACAAUGAGAAGAAGCAACAAGAAGCAAGCUAACUCUCCCGUCUCGUUCAUUUAUCCUGUUUUUACAGGUCRGUCCCUAAUCGCUGGUAACCGGGCUGGUCGUAGGACAGCUCCAUUGCAUUAAAUGAGGAUCGCCCUGGCAGUGAAGAUGAAUGGUCUCAUUAGGGAGAGAUCGCUCAUGCCUGAGCAUGACAUCCUGUUUCCACUCAGAAACCCUACCAACGAUGGUGACCUCAAACAUCUGCUGCUGAAAUGGGUCAUCAUUGUUUCCCGACAAUACUCCCUAUGACAACUACAUAAAAACACAACUGGUGUAAUGUUUGCUUUGUUUUUUUUAUACAACACUUGUGUCAACAUGAUAGGAAUCACAGACAGAGAGAUGUGAAAUAUCUGAGCCUGGCUACCCAUUGGCCCUCCAAAAACGGGCUGCAUCUCAAACGGCACCAUAUUCCCUAUAUAGUACUGAACUACUUUUGACCAAAGACCUUUGGGCUAACUACUGCUGGUCACAUCUUAAAACUCCCUAUCCACCAGACCUUGUCCCAAACAACAAACCAGGUUGUAGCUGUAGUUUCACUUCUAAAUUAUCACUAACCUCGAGCCUCAGACAUGCCAUCCUCUUACACACACUCAGAUUGGGACGGGACUAAUGGACGUUUUUAUCAGCCCACUCCUCAGAGCCUGACUCAGGCACUUAAUCCUCGUUUAACAAGCAAUUAGCGGUGAGCUCAUGUCAACUACAGAUGUUUGCUCUCCUGUAGCCCCUGAUAACACCAGGGUCUUUCUCUGGCGGGUCGGGGCAGGGGCUGGAGAGGAGCGGRAGAGCCUGAUAAGGCAGAGGAGAGCACAGCCUAACCUUGUGUCCUACACACAUACACACGUCACACACUAAUCUCUACGGUUGUGCCCCAAAUGGCACCCUAUUCCCUAUGCAGUAUACUACUUUUAACCCGGGGCCCAUUAAAACUAGUACACUACAUAGGCAAUAGGGUUCCAUUUGGGAUGUAGACUAAGUUUCUAGAGUGGGCAUUCCACAGCAGACUCUGUAAUAAAUAAAAAAGCACCAUUGUUGCUUUUCUAAACAUAUGGGAGUAAACAGUGUUGCUUCACUCUGUCUUUAGGGUAAGUGGAUGAAUCCUUGAGUCUGGGUCAGACAGGGCACCAGAUGACAGGGAAGCCUUAUGUAGAUGAUUGUCGAAGACUUGGCAAAAAGACUCAGAGAUCAAACCCCUCUGAACCCCUUACUUUAAACUGAAUGAUGAUGUGUGUGAUUGAUGUGGCACCUCCACUUGGCACCCCAGGAGGUUAUCUGCUACACACACUGUCUCACAGCGAAGGAAUUUUACCUCAAUUGUCUCUCUAACCCAAUCAUCUACCCUUAUUUAUUCAUUCGGACGACAACUGUCUGUCUUGCAGCAGCCUAUUCAAAAAAGAUCGAAGAGGUGCAUAGCAUUUGCAGCCUAAUGCAUAGCAGGGCUUGUGAAUGUCUUGACACACCAGUACAUAGAAUAUACAGUGCUAAAAAGGUAUGCAUAGUUAGCAGACUGAUUCAGUUGACUUUCUUCUGCUAUCGCCUACAUAAACUACAUUUUUUCCUGGCAAUUACUCACUUCCUCUAAUUCGAGUUAGCUACCAUGGUGCGAUUUUGUUCAACAUUGAAAACAUUGAACUUCUAAUCCUUUGUCAGGUGCCCAGGCUGCAGCUCUGGGCCACUUGGUUAGUUUUGUUCUGCUUCCCUGGUGCAUGAAGAACCUCCGUAGUGUUGUGUUACAAUUAAUGUCUUGUUUCUGUUAGGGGGCAGGAAACCGAGUCAAAGUUUGCUUACCCAAAACCUUUCCUGUGUGAAUUGGCCACUUGUUUCAGGUUGCUGGUUGCUUACCCCCCAGCCACUGAAUGUCCAACUGGCCCCAAAUAGGGAAGUUUUAUGCAGGUGACCUUUAACCUUCACCAUUGUGUCCCAAAUUGCAUCCUAUUCCCUAUAUUUAGGGCGCAAUAAUCCCUAUGUAAUCCACUGUAAAAGGCAAUAGGGUGCCAUUUGUGAUGUGGACUCCCUAUUUACGUCUCGGAAAAUAGUGGAAUUAUGACACUUAACACUGUCUGUCUCCUGCAGAUGUCUGGGGUAGUUUGGCUAUAACUGGGAGCUAUUGAGACCACAGGUCAAUCCCUGGGCUGGCAGCCCUUUUCUAUGGUUUAAUAGUAGUAGUGGCACACAUUGGAACACAUUCACAUUGACAUCUCAUGAAAAUGUAAUAACUGGAUUUUAAAUAGCUUGUAAAACAUAUGUUACUUAACCAUUAUCAGCAUCUUGACAGCAUGAAUAAUGCUAUUGUAAUUCCCUUGCAUUGCUUUUGUUACUUCAUGUUUUGGUUACACUGGGAUUGGAAAUAAUGUUUUUGUUGUUACAGUCUAUCGACAGCCCUCAAUAGAUUACAACUCGGACUAAAGCAGAAUAUAUAGCCUGGUCCCAGAUAUGUUUGUGCUGUUUGGCAUAACAAUGACCAUAAGAGUUGACUAUUCAGCACAAACAGAUCUGGGACCAGGCUAAGCAGGGUCCGUAGUGGAUGAAGAGUCAUGCUGUUCUGUCCUGUUCCUCCAUUUCAGUACAAAACUCACAGAUAGACAGUAACUCUGAUAGUAACUGGACGUACAAGGAGACAGUGGGUUGACACUGAAAACACAGGGUUUUAUUUGGAACUAAUGACACGGUGCAGUGUAGGGCUGCUCCUGGUAAAUCAUUUAUAACUGGCAUGUGCAUUAUUAAAACUGCUUUCAUAUAAAUUCUACACACAUGGUGGUGAUAUGUGAAGC